AACGCGAAGAACCUUACCUGGUCUUGACAUCCACAGAACUUUCCAGAGAUGGAUUGGUGCCCUCGGGAACUGUGAGACAGGUGCUGCAUGGCUGUCGUCAGCUCGUGUUGUGAAAUGUUGGGUUAAGUCCCGCAACGAGCGCAACCCUUAUCUUUUGUUGCCAGCGGUCCGGCCGGGAACUCAAAGGAGACUGCCAGUGAUAAACUGGAGGAAGGUGGGGAUGACGUCAAGUCAUCAUGGCCCUUACGACCAGGGCUACACACGUGCUACAAUGGCGCAUACAAAGAGAAGCGACCUCGCGAGAGCAAGCGGACCUCAUAAAGUGCGUCGUAGUCCGGAUUGGAGUCUGCAACUCGACUCCAUGAAGUCGGAAUCGCUAGUAAUCGUGGAUCAGAAUGCCACGGUGAAUACGUUCCCGGGCCUUGUACACACCG
Molecule: ribosomal RNA, 434 nt
Filed under: uncultured bacterium
Lineage: Bacteria
Description: bacterial SSU rRNA
Rfam family: Bacterial small subunit ribosomal RNA
Source: RNAcentral